AUUGAACGCUGGCGGCAUGCUCUACACAUGCAAGUCGAACGGUAACAGGCCGCAAGGUGCUGACGAGUGGCGAACGGGUGAGUAAUGCAUCGGAACGUGCCCAGUCGUGGGGGAUAACUACUCGAAAGAGUAGCUAAUACCGCAUACGAUCUAUGAAUGAAAGCGGGGGACCGUAAGGCCUCGCGCGAUUGGAGCGGCCGAUGUCAGAUUAGGUAGUUGGUGGGGUAAAGGCUCACCAAGCCAACGAUCUGUAGCUGGUCUGAGAGGACGACCAGCCACACUGGGACUGAGACACGGCCCAGACUCCUACGGGAGGCAGCAGUGGGGAAUUUUGGACAAUGGGCGCAAGCCUGAUCCAGCAAUGCCGCGUGCAGGAAGAAGGCCUUCGGGUUGUAAACUGCUUUUGUACGGAACGAAACGGCUCUGGUUAAUACCCGGGGCUAAUGACGGUACCGUAAGAAUAAGCACCGGCUAACUACGUG
RNAcentral lists this ribosomal RNA (482 nucleotides) under uncultured bacterium. Its description in RNAcentral is "partial 16S ribosomal RNA". It matches the Rfam family "Bacterial small subunit ribosomal RNA", at positions 30 to 507 of the family's 1533-position model. The record is from RNAcentral.